Molecule: ribosomal RNA, 305 nt
Filed under: uncultured bacterium
Lineage: Bacteria
Description: bacterial SSU rRNA
Rfam family: Bacterial small subunit ribosomal RNA
Source: RNAcentral
UUUUCCCUACGGGGGGCAGCAGUGGGGAAUAUUGCACAAUGGGGGAAACCCUGAUGCAGCGACGCCGCGUGAGGGAAGAAGGUUUUCGGAUUGUAAACCUCUGUCUUUGGUGACGAAAGAUGACGGUAGCCAAAGAGGAAGCUACGGCUAACUACGUGCCAGCAGCCGCGGGAAUACGUAGGUGGCAAGCGUUGUCCGGAAUUACUGGGUGUAAAGGGAGCGUAGGCGGGAAGGCAAGUUGAAUGUUUAAACUAUCGGCUCAACCGAUAAUCGCGUUCAAAACUGUUUUUCUUGAGUGAAGUAGA